AAUCUGCGUCGUAACCAUAGUGCCUUUCAAGGUAUUGGGAAUUGGGAUAAGCCCAAACUGUACCCGCAACUGUAGAUGUACCCAUCGAGUAUGGGGACAUAAGUCAGAUACCAGCUUUGAAUAGCCUCAAUAU
This 133-nucleotide non-coding RNA is filed under the name Shewanella frigidimarina. The record is from RNAcentral. Lineage: Bacteria; Pseudomonadati; Pseudomonadota; Gammaproteobacteria; Alteromonadales; Shewanellaceae.